GUAGGGGGCAAGCGUUAUCCGGAUUUACUGGGUGUAAAGGGAGCGUAGACGGCAUCACAAGUCAGAAGUGAAAAUCCGGGGCUCAACCCCGGAACUGCUUUUGAAACUGUGGAGCUGGAGUGCAGGAGAGGUAAGCGGAAUUCCUAGUGUAGCGGUUAAAUGCGUAGAUAUUAGAAGGAACACCAGUGGCGAAGGCGGUUUACUGGGCCAUAACUGACGCUGAGGCACGAAAGCGUGGGGAGCAAAUAGGAUUAGAUACCCUAGUAGUCCACGCCGUAAACGAUGAGUACUAAGUGUUGGGGCAACCCAGUGCUGAAGUUAACACAUUAAGUACUCCGCCUGAGUAGU
Molecule: ribosomal RNA, 348 nt
Filed under: uncultured bacterium
Lineage: Bacteria
Description: bacterial SSU rRNA
Rfam family: Bacterial small subunit ribosomal RNA
Source: RNAcentral